RNAcentral lists this ribosomal RNA (246 nucleotides) under uncultured bacterium. Its description in RNAcentral is "partial 16S ribosomal RNA". It matches the Rfam family "Bacterial small subunit ribosomal RNA", at positions 32 to 267 of the family's 1533-position model. The record is from RNAcentral.
AAUCAACGCUGGCGGCGUGCCUCAGACAUGCAAGUCGAACGAUUAAAGCUCUCUUCGGAGAGUGCAUAAAGUGGCGCACGGGUGAGUAACACGUAAGUAAUCUACCUUUGAGUGGGAAUAACAGUCGGAAACGGCUGCUAAUACCGCAUAAUGCAGCGGCACCGCAAGGUGACAGUUGUUAAAGGAGCAAUCCGCUUAAAGAGGAGCUUUGCGGCAGAUUAGCUAGUUGGUAAGGUAAUGGCUUUA